GAGAGACGGGUCAGUGGUUAAGAGCACUGUCUGUUUUUCCAAAGGCACUGAGUUCAAUUCCCAGCACCCACAUGGUGGCACACAAGCAUCUGUAAUUCCUGUUGCAGGGGAUCCAACACCCUCCUCUGACCUCUCCAGGCACUAUGUGCCUGCCUGGUACCCACACGCAUUCAUGUAAAACAAACAAACAAAACAUGACAAAACAAAAACACACAUAAAAGAAAAGAAAACAUUUUAAGACACUGUGAUGCAGUUAACAUUGCCAACUUGACAGGAUCUGGAAUCAUCUAGUAGACAAAUCUCUGAGCAUGAAUGUGAGUUUCUAAACUACGUUAAUUAAGAUGAGAAGACCCACCCUGAGGUGAGCAUCACUGUUCCAUGGGCUGGGGAGCUGGACUGAAUAAGAACGCGAGCUUGUCAACGUACAGAUCUCUCUGCUUCCCGACUAAGGAUGCGAUGAGACCAGCUCCUCCUACAGCUCUCGUUGCCAUGACUGUAUCCUGAACCUGUAAGCCAAAAUAGACACUUCUUCUCUUCAGUAGCUUCUUGUCUGGCAUUUUAUUCUAGCAAAGAGACAAGUAACUAACUCACACGCCCAUCAUUAUUGAUGCUCACAAACCCCACUGAGUGGGAUCAUACAGCUGUACUGUAUGACCUCAGUCAACAGCUGAUUGGUCAAGGAGAGAACACCUGACCCUCAGAGAGCCCACUCAUUGGCCAAUCAGACGUCCUGCGUCUGCCUUAGUCAGCCCCAGAACAGGGCAGGAAAUAACAUCACCUGUGCUCAACAGCUAAGCUACGGUGUCCAACACAGAUACUGGGGGAACUGUCCAGGAACUACAAACUCCAUAGUCAACGUGGGGAGAGGGAAGGUGCCCAGAAGGCCACUGAUGAAGAACAUAUCCUACUGCCGCAGCAGUGCCUUCCCACGUGGACUUGGCUUGAUUAUAACUGACUCGAAACCUAUCCAGUGAUUAAAGUGGCCGCCAGGCUCUGUUCUCCAGAGAGGCGAGCUGCGGGCUGAAUAAUUCAAGGCACCCCUUCCUGAAGGCUGGAGAAUCUGCAAGAAGAGCUGAGAGCAGAAAAGUGG
RNAcentral lists this long non-coding RNA (1090 nucleotides) under Mus spicilegus (steppe mouse). RNAcentral's name for it is "lncRNA (ENSMSIG00000015715.1)". The record is from RNAcentral. Lineage: Eukaryota; Metazoa; Chordata; Mammalia; Rodentia; Muridae.